RNAcentral lists this ribosomal RNA (253 nucleotides) under uncultured bacterium. Its description in RNAcentral is "partial 16S ribosomal RNA". It matches the Rfam family "Bacterial small subunit ribosomal RNA", at positions 524 to 776 of the family's 1533-position model. The record is from RNAcentral.
UACGUAGGGGGCAAGCGUUGUCCGGAAUCAUUGGGCGUAAAGAGCGUGUAGGCGGCUCGGUAAGUCCGCUGUGAAAGUCCAGGGCUCAACCCUGGAAUGCCGGUGGAAACUGUCGAGCUAGAGUCCGGAAGAGGCGAGUGGAAUUCCUGGUGUAGCGGUGAAAUGCGCAGAUAUCAGGAGGAACACCGAUGGCGAAGGCAGCUCGCUGGGACGGUACUGACGCUGAGACGCGAAAGCGUGGGGAGCAAACAGG